RNAcentral lists this ribosomal RNA (253 nucleotides) under uncultured bacterium. RNAcentral describes it as "partial 16S ribosomal RNA". It matches the Rfam family "Bacterial small subunit ribosomal RNA", at positions 524 to 776 of the family's 1533-position model. The record is from RNAcentral.
UACGUAGGGUGCGAGCGUUGUCCGGAAUUAUUGGGCGUAAAGGGCUCGUAGGCGGUCUGUCGCGUCGGUAGUGAAAACUCAGGGCUUAACCCUGAGCCUGCUUCCGAUACGGGCAGACUAGAGGUAUGCAGGGGAGAACGGAAUUCCUGGUGUAGCGGUGAAAUGCGUAGAUAUCUGGAGGAACACCGGUGGCGAAGGCGGCAUCCUGGACCAACACUGACGCUGAGGAGCGAAAGCCAGGGGAGCAAACGGG